AAAAAAAAAAAGAAGAAAGAAUUACUAUAAAAUACUCUACCCAUUAAAAUGCAGCAUUUCAGUCGAAAUGGACAGCUGUCAUCAAAACCAAAACAAACACAGCAGUUCACGCAACCAGAAAUCAACAGCCUGCAUUUCCUGUCUAUUAUGGAAACUGAAUUUCUCAUGAAAGAGCUCCAGUGCAGAAUCCUAGGGUCCGUUCCUUCCACUGGGGGACAUUCAGGAGAAAACUACAUCAGCCCCGGACAGUCUCUCCCAGGAACCAGAAGAGGAAGCCGGACUUCCCAGCCCAUUCCAUCUGGUGAUUUUCCAGGCUGACCACUGACCUGCACCCACCAGCACUUGGGGGCUGCAUUUGACCAGCCCUCCUCGUCAUUUCCUCGGUUGCCCCACUGAGAUGUGUGCAAGGGUGGACUGCACGCUGGGCUUCAGAGGCUCGGUAUGGGGGCCUUGGUGUAACACAGCACUUGCCUGCAGUGCCUGAGGCCCUGGUUCCAACCCCAGCACCCACCAGCCUGGCUUGUGGGUGCUGGGACAGGUCACAGGCAGGAGACCCAGGCUACUACCAGGGCCCAGCUGAUUCUCCCGGGCGCAGGGGGUGUAACAGCUGGGAGGCCCCCACUGCAACCUCCGCGACCCAGGCCCGCCACCCAUUUCUUCCUGCAGGCCGCAGCCUUCCACCCUCUGCUGCAGACCCUCUCCCUCUGACCAUGCCCCACAGGGACCCCAGAGCAGCCUGCAAGGUAGGAGCUCAGUUCCAUCUCUACCCCAGACCCCCUCCGUACCCCUCAGAGGGCUUCCCCUUCCCCCAGCUCUGAUGCCAGCCCUCCCACCCCAUGGAGAACCACCCCCACAUCUUCCAGGCCUCUGCUCUGCAGACAAGUGUCCUGCGUCCCCUGCCCGUCUGGGGACCUGGACCCCAGAACACUCCCUCUCUGUGGGCCCACCUCUGCCCCUCUGCGGCAGAACCAGGUCAGGCUCGCCCCCUUGCCCCCCACAGCAGCCAGAGGGGCUGACCCUAAAUGAGGUCAGCCAGUCCGCAGUCCCACACACCCCAUCCAGAUUAAGAUGCCCUGAAAACGGGGCCAGCUGCCUGUGUGGAACUCUGAGGCCACUAGGGGGCGAGUGUGCACCAUAGACUCUCCCCAACGGGGUCCCCGCCCCCAGCCGCCCUCCGAAAGACCCGGGAUUCUCCCACUCUGUUGGACUUACCUUGUCACAGAUGGGGCAGCGAUGCCAGCCUGGCACCCCCACGUCACUGUACUUCACUCCUGGGCUCUGCAAGCACUGGGCCCUGCAGGGUGCUGAGCAAUGUCCCUGUGCCCACCCACUGCUGCCAGGAGCUCCCUCCUCGCCACAGCCAUGCAAGUCCCCAGGCGUGGCCCAGAGUCCUGGGGGGCAGGAUCGUCCCCCCAGGUGAGACCGAGUGGGCAGGAGACCCAGCUUGGGUACUUGGGGAUAAGGACAGUUGCCCCAGGUCCCCGCGCUGGCCUUCUGUGAGAAGCCUGGGCCCAGCCUGGCACCCCUCUGCCCCCUGCUUUGCAGCUCCCAGACCUGUGAGCUGGUCCUCGUUUGGGAAAAGGGUCUUCACAGGUGUGGCCAGUCGAGGCCAGGGUCUGGGAUGAGACCAUCCUGGGUUGCUGAGGUGGCCCCAAACCCAUGGAGUCGACAGAGGAACGGCUGGGUGCCGUCCGAGGCCCGGGGGCCAUGAGGAGAGGCAGGAAGGAGGCCCCACAGUCGGCAGGACUGGACACUGACCCCCCAGGACGGGGAGAGGAGAGCUCUGGUCUUUGAAGUCCCAGGUUGUGGUCACUUGUCACAGCAGCCCUGGAAAUUAAUGCAGGAUACUGAGAAUUAUUUAUGACAAAAAAAUCCAUGCUGACAGCGAAUGGUUUUAAGAAUCUUGACAAAAGGGCAGCGCUAUCCCGGUCAAGACAGACCACGUUCCGUCACCUUCACCAGCUCCCCGCACCCCGGGGCGCAGCUCUCCUCACACCCGGGUCUUCUGGAGCACGGCCCUGCACCUCUGGUUCACACCCCAGUCCUUUUUAUUUUUUAUUUGGAGACCAGGCCUCGCUAGCUGCCCAGGCUGGCCUGGAACUCAGCACCCUCCUGCCUCAGCCUCCACGCUUGCCCGCCCAGCCUUGCACCCACAGGGCCACGUCCUGUCUCUGGACUCCUGUCCUGGACCCUCCUGACACAGAGCACACCCUGUGGUCCGUGUGUCUGGCUCUCGGAUCCGCCCACGCUGCAGCUGUGUCACCUCGCUCCUAACCUGGCUGAGGUAAGGUGCACAGACCGCUGUGUGUAUCUGUCCAUCUGCUGGUGGGCGCUUGGGCUGUCCCACCUUUGGGCUACUGUGGCUUCUGCACUGUGACGGUGUGUCCAGAGGAUGAGGCGUGCAGGAGAGGGGUGCUGGGCUCCGGUGCGCCUUUGACUCGCCUUCUGGAACCAGCCGAUGCGUCCUAGUCCAGGCCUCAGCACCACAGAGAGAACCCGCCAAUUCUGGACUGCGGGGAACAACAUGGGUAAAAACCACGGGAAAAGCGAGGGGCUCGGAGGCUGACGCAGGAGCAGACACGGGGGGCGCUGUGGCCCGUCUCCACCCUGCCCACCGCUGCUGGAGCACGCGGGACUUCUGGGCUCAGCGGCCAUGGUGGAAGUGCCCGCGGGAGGGAAGGGUUCUGUUUAAGCUCAAAGCCGGGCUGGGGUGUCGCUCAGUCGCGCGCUUACCCAGCACAAGCCGGGCCUGAAUUCCAACCCCAGCUCUGCACCCCAAAACCGCAGACAGCCAGACUGCCCACUGGUAGACGAACAGCCUGGCCCAUCCGGGUAACAGAAUGCCACUCAGCCUCCAGCAGGAGCGAGGCGCCACGCUGUCCUGUGCAUGGACCCGAGGACGGGCGCACAGCCACCUGAGCUGCCCGGCAGGACCGGGCUGCAGGAGCCGCCCACAGGAGGUCCUGUAGCCCUGGGAGCCACAGAGGCGGGAGGCGGCUCCGUGGGAGCCAGGCUGGGAACCAGUGUUCCACCGGACAGAGCAUCAAUUCAGGAAGAUGAGAGCACUCUGCAUAUGGAUGGACCUUUGCACAUGCUGUGCCCUGGGCUGGACCUGCCCUUACCACUCUGACAUGGUGCAGCCCUGCCCAGCUUGUUUCCAGCAUCAGUGUCAGCUCCUCGUAGAGAGGUGGAGCCCACACUCCCGAGCCAGCUGGACUGGUACAUUCCUGGGGCAGAAGUGUCUCCCUUGCUCACAACUGAGCGCCCAGGACCAGUGCCUACUGGUCGCACUGUGAGCAGCAGAGACUGGUGAACAAAUGAAGGUGGCUAUGGGGACCUGCAGCCAUGGGAGCAGGGGUCAGCCAGCAAGCCUCCUCCCAGAUGCGCUGGAGACAGAUCAUGCUGAGCCACAGCAGAGACUUGGGGCUUCCCUGUGACUCAAAGGC
Sciurus carolinensis (gray squirrel) is the source of this 3446-nucleotide long non-coding RNA. RefSeq lists it as uncharacterized. NCBI's taxonomy places the organism in Eukaryota, Metazoa, Chordata, Mammalia, Rodentia, Sciuridae. The record is from RefSeq and is a predicted model, not a curated record. The transcript has 3 exons.